GGCCUUCAGGGGCAUGUGAACCAUCCAGGAGAGAAGGCCUGAGCACAAAGGAAGGUCACAUCUGGGGUGUCCUGAGCCCUGUCUUGCCCUUAGGCCCAUGGAGAGCUGGCCCCAAACUCCCCUCUCCGGGAAGGUUUCAUCGUGCCUGCUCUGUGUGCCCGGCAGGCUGGUCUUCUAAGCUCUAGGUCUCCACUGGUUUCUCUUGUCCCCUUCCCAGACCCUCUGAGGGAGUCUGCAGGACUCUAGUUCCUUCCUACAACUCGCAGUGGCCAGCAGAGGGCGCUGCCCAAAGGCCGAGGCCUCUAUGGAGGGCACUGGAGAAUCGGCUUCCCUGUGUCCAGCUGCACACAAGGCACACCCCCUGGGCCCCAGCCAACCCAGCCCAAGGAGAAGGCGCAGAGGCCCCGCCCUGAGAAAGCAAGGCCUUCUAGUCAGGGGUAUCAUCCUGACCUGACCUCUUCACCUUGACUCUCUUUGACCCACCACGAACAGGCCUCAGCUCAAGCCACGUUGUAUCAGGUCAUUGAGCUUGACCUCGGAUUGGAAUGCUGGUUAACCACCCCGUCCCACAACGCUGGCCGACUGAGGAUCCACACCUCUCUGCGCAGCCUCAGCCCUACUCCUUCCCUGGCCCUCAGUGACUACCGUGCAUGCGCCCCUUCCUCAGCCUCCAAGUCCGACCCAGCCUUGUAUCGUGUGGUCAGGGAGAGCCACAGAACUUGGAGCCUGUCAUUGGGGCCAGGCCGGCUGUGCCCCAGUUCUGCAGCCUUUCCAGCUUGGGACUAUGGGAGUUCCUCUGAAGGGCUUCUGGCUCCGUCCCGAGCCCACAUGGAGCUUUCCUGAUGCUGGGGACCCUGGAGAUGUUUGCUGUUUCCUUGGCUUCCCUGAGAAAAGCUCCCCUCUCCGUGUGGGCCCUGGCCUCUGUUUCCCGCCAGCCUUCCCUCACCUGCCCCUUCCAUGCCUCCCCGUGCAGUGUCACCCCCAUCUUCACCAACAGCAAAGAGCAGGAGGAGCUCAUGCAGCAGCUGACAGAAUUCCAGGUGGAUGAAAUCUACACAGUGCCAGAGGUGGGGACCGUCGUUGGAGGCACACUUUCCAGGUGAAGUGCCUUGUUUGCCACCCACUCCGCCCUCUCGUAGCCCUGUACGCAGACAUCCUGGCCCAAAGGAGGAGCCCCUGGAGCUAAACAGCCUGCCUCAGGAAUCCUUGCUUGCAGAUUAGGCUUUCACUAGUGGACAUCUGGAAGCUGGUCACUUAGCGCUGCCUCCUGGGACUCUCCAGGCCCCUGAGGGAGAAGUGUGGGUCGUGGGCCACAGGACGACACCUAGAGCAUGUUCAGCUGACUUCGUCUCGCAUAGGAAACCGAGAAAAGGACAGCCAGAGCACAGGGUGAAACCCAAGGGGACCACUUGCUCACGCAGGGACCAGGUGUUGGGUGUUACCAGGCCGCGGGUGCCCCACUGGAGCUGUCACUGCAGCCUCUUCUGGUGUCAGCCUUCAGAGUGAAUGCCGGGCCAGCCGGGCAGCCACCUCAUAUCCGAGUCUGAGUUAGGGCUCCUGUCCCUACUUGAGGAACCCAGCCCCGGAAGGGAAAGCAUGCUCAGUGUGACCCUAGCGAAGCAGGCAGGGGACCCCAGGCUGACCCUG
This 1647-nucleotide long non-coding RNA is filed under the name Fukomys damarensis (Damara mole-rat). RNAcentral's name for it is "lncRNA (ENSFDAG00000030756.1)". The record is from RNAcentral. Lineage: Eukaryota; Metazoa; Chordata; Mammalia; Rodentia; Bathyergidae.